This 436-nucleotide ribosomal RNA is filed under the name Lineidae sp. Pili_CB200_SMCP0268. RNAcentral's name for it is "partial 16S ribosomal RNA". It matches the Rfam family "Bacterial large subunit ribosomal RNA", at positions 1916 to 2565 of the family's 2925-position model. Lineage: Eukaryota; Metazoa; Nemertea; Pilidiophora; Heteronemertea; Lineidae. The record is from RNAcentral.
GGUGAGUUUUAACGGCCGCGGUACUCUGACCGUGCAAAGGUAGCAUAAUCAUUUGCCCUUUAAUUGGGGGCUGGUAUGAAGGGAAUCACGAGGCCUCAGCUGUCUCUUUUUUUUUGUGGGAAUUUGCUUUUUUUGUGAAGAAGCAAGAGUGGGGAAAAGGGACAAGAAGACCCUAUUAAGCUUGACUUGUUGAUGCUACAUUUUGUGAUUUCUUGUAAAAGAUGAGUGUAGAAGCAGAAGUUUGGUUGGGGUGACGAGAAGAGAUGGGAUCUUUUUUUUUUUUGUAAACUGAGUGUUUAAGAUUGGGCCAAAAGUUUUGAAAGAAAGAAUAAGUUACUAUAGGGAUAACAGCGUAAUUUUUUCUGAGAGUUCUUAUCGAAGAAAAAGAUUGCGACCUCGAUGUUGACUUGUUGUUUCCUUUGGGUGUAGUAGCUUU